Molecule: ribosomal RNA, 475 nt
Filed under: uncultured bacterium
Lineage: Bacteria
Description: bacterial SSU rRNA
Rfam family: Bacterial small subunit ribosomal RNA
Source: RNAcentral
GAUGAACGCUGGCGGCGUGCCUAAUACAUGCAAGUCGAACGAAGAAUUAGCAAUAGUUCUUAGUGGCGGACGGCUGCGUAACACGUGGAUGAUCUACCCUGAAGAGGGGAAUAACACCGCGAAAGCGGUGCUAAAACCGCAUGUGGUCAAUUGAGUUAGAGAAGAUUGACUAAAAGAGCAAUUUGCUUCAGGAGGAGUCCGCGGCCCAUCAGCUAGUUGGUAAGGUAACGGCUUACCAAGGCGACGACGGGUAGGGGGCCUGAGAGGGUGAACCCCCAGACUGGAACUGAAAACGGUCCAGACACCUACGGGUGCAGCAGUAGGGAAUAUUGGACAAUGGGCGAAAGCCUGAUCCAGCAACGCCGCGUGUGUGAAGAAGGCCUCGGUUGUAAGCACUUUCUGUCGUGAGAGAAAGGACGGUAGCGCGAGGAAUAAGACAUCGGCGUAACUACGUGCCAGCAGCCGCGGUAAAGUC